Molecule: non-coding RNA, 2105 nt
Organism: Chlorocebus sabaeus (green monkey)
Lineage: Eukaryota; Metazoa; Chordata; Mammalia; Primates; Cercopithecidae
Source: RefSeq, a predicted model, not a curated record
AAAAAUUAAAUAAAAGGGAAGGAGGCAUGGGAGGCAAAAAGCAAUUUCCUCAAAAAAUUCAAUUUGUUUUGUUCUCUGUGUCUGAUUUCCUUUGGGUUGGCCCUGCUUUCCUUAAGAUCUCCAAAACCCCAGACUCGGCUUGCGUCUGGAACCAAGGCAAGACAGGGGCUAUUUCUCCAGCCCAGGCGCAGGCCCAGGCCCAAGCCCUGACAAUAACAGAGAGGCUGGCUCAACAGUGAGGUCUCUCCAGGAUACAUUAACCACCGCCUCAGUGUGAAAGAUGAUCAGCUGUGAGCUUAAUUCCUCAUAAAAUAUCACUCAGGCCAGAGCAGGUUAGCUAAAUAUGUGGUCCUAAGAAUUAAACAGAGUUUCCCUUUUAGCUCCAACAAAGAGGGGAAAGGCAGGGCUGCAGGGGUAUAAUUUUGCAGGAGCCUUCAGGACUGCUCCUGGGCUGGCUGCUAAGUUGCUUGAGGGCGACAUCAUUGUAAUGAUAGGGUUAACAUUUUCUCAUCUCCCACUGGUGCAGCCCUCCCCCUACUAACCAUGUACGUUCCUUCAGUGCAAGCGGACAUCAGUAGAAAUCUAAAGGUUCUCUCCCUCCUUCCCUAGGCACAAAACCCAGCCUCCAAUCUCUAUAGACUUUAGAGAAAGAUGCCAGGAAUAUAAAGUAUGGUGAAUGUGCUUUGUCAGAGGGAUGGCUGAGCUGAUAAAAGUUUCAGUCUGGGGUGACUGGUGACCAUUUGCUACUGCAAAGGGAAAGCCUGCCUGAGGAUUCAGCCAAAGAGGAAGAAAGAUGAUCAAAAGAUCUAAAAAGGCAGAAUCAUGACGACACCUUUUGAGCACCUGGAUCCAGCACUGCCCAAUGCUCCCAGCCAGUUACAGGAACUAAUACAUUUCCUUUUUUCCUUAAUCUCUUUUGAGUUGGGGUGCUGUCAUCUGCAACAUAUCCACAAAGCCAAAGAAGUUUAUGCUUCUAGCGCCUCAUUGUCCAGGCCCCUUCCAGGGAGCUGCCAUUUCAUUUACUGUCACAGGAUUCAGGUAAGUGAAUGCCAGCUGCACAACGUAAGAGUGACGUCCAGUAAUAGUACUACUGUCCCGUGCCAACUCGCAGGGGUCAAGAUCCAAAGUUACAGGACCCUGGGCCAUGUCUCAGUAAAAACAUGCCCGAGGACAACAGGUACAGAAUUUUACAGAAGUGGAAGAGACCUGGUUUGAAAUGUACAGAACCAGAAGCUAGUCUGGGGAAAGUUCCAAUUGUCAGAGGAAUGAAAAUGAUUUUGAUUCUCACGAAAGUCUACCGGAAACAUAAUAUUUCAGCAUGUACAACAAAAAAUGUACCAUAUGUUUUUUUUCUUUUUUGACUAGAACCCGGGAGAAUAAAAUGUAUCAAGAUUCUGCCUUUGUAGGGCCGAAUCUGCAGUAACACCAGAAGCAGUAAGUAUAUGUCUGUAUGAAGUGGCAUGUUUUCUCAUCAUGACUAUCAAUAAUAAAGAACAAAUUUCCAUUUGCUGUGCCAUAGGAAAGACUGAACUAUCUUCCUACUCUCUUUAUGAAAAGUGAUAUUUCAAAAUUGUUGUCAUAUGAAUCAGAAGCAAUCAAAGAGUACGCAGCCAAAAACUGUAGGAAAGAAGGCAUUGUAAAAGCACAUGAAGCAGUAAAUUAAUAAGAACAUUGUUAUUUUUCUGAAUUUUGUGAUGAUGGUAUUUGGUAGCUUUUUAAAAUGUGUGACUUUUGCAGUUUAUUUUCUCUUUGCAAAUAAAUAUUCAUUGUGUGCCUAACUUGUAUGUGUAAUUUUGUGUUUUUUUAAGAGGCUCUCUAAAAUUGUCUGAAACACAGGCUCUGCAAAACUUGCUUCUGCACCUGUGUAGAGGAUGAACACAUGAUCUGCAGCCAGACCUCCCAGCUUCAGAUCUCAGCGGGGCCAUCUGCCAGCUUUAUAAUGCUGGGUGGUUUACUUUGCCUUUCUAUGCCUCAGUUUUCUUAUCUAUGAAAUGGGGAUAAUAACUUCAAAGGGUUUUUUGUAGGAUUAAAUGAGUUAAUACAUAUAAAGAACCCAGAAGCUGGCUAUCAUUAAUCAUAAAUAACAACUAUGUUUGUUUCUUUUU